This is a long non-coding RNA of Physella acuta, 255 nucleotides long. RefSeq lists it as uncharacterized. The record is from RefSeq and is a predicted model, not a curated record. NCBI's taxonomy places the organism in Eukaryota, Metazoa, Mollusca, Gastropoda, Physidae.
UUCGAUAAAGAAAUAACCUGUAUCACCUUGUAGCAAUCAGUUCGUGAAAUAAACAUGAAGUGGGUAUUCCUACUGCUCUGCCUGACAGUGCUUUGUUCAGUUGCAUACGCUGAACUCAAGGUGGCUGAUCUUGAAGGAGACCAAGUUAACGGACGUUUGGAACCCGUGUCAGACAAUGAUGGAUCGGGUGCCGGAAAGGUACGACGUGCCGGCGACAGAACCUACUUCCUGAAACCUGGUGGCGGUUAAUACAUU